GACGAACGCUGGCGGCGCGCUUAACACAUGCAAGUCGAACGGAAAGGCCUGCUUUCCCUUGUGGAUUGCGGGUACUCGAGUGGCGAACGGGUGAGUAACACGUGAGUGAUCUGCCCCCAACUUGGGUAUAAGCCUGGGAAACUGGGUCUAAUUCCCGAUAGGACUGCAGGGUGGUGCCUGUGGUGGAAAACGAUUUUCUAGUGGUUGGGGAUGAGCUCGCAGCCUAUCAGCUUGUUGGUGGGGUAAUGGCCUACCAAGGCGGCGACGGGUAGCCGGCCUGAGAGGGUGGACGGCCACAUUGGGACUGAGAUACGGCCCAGACUCCUACGGGAGGCAGCAGUGGGGAAUAUUACACAAUGGGCGGAAGCCUGAUGCAGCGACGCCGCGUGGGGGAUGACGGCCUUCGGGUUGUAAACUCCUUUCGACCGCGAGGAAGCCACCUGGUUGGAAGGGUGGUGACGGUAGUGGUAGAAGAAGCACCGGCUAACUACGUG
RNAcentral lists this ribosomal RNA (494 nucleotides) under uncultured bacterium. Its description in RNAcentral is "partial 16S ribosomal RNA". It matches the Rfam family "Bacterial small subunit ribosomal RNA", at positions 28 to 507 of the family's 1533-position model. The record is from RNAcentral.